RNAcentral lists this long non-coding RNA (1243 nucleotides) under Equus caballus (horse). Its description in RNAcentral is "lncRNA (ENSECAG00000039116.3)". Lineage: Eukaryota; Metazoa; Chordata; Mammalia; Perissodactyla; Equidae. The record is from RNAcentral.
CUGCCAUCACCACGAGAACAUGCCUGGCCUGGACACGCUGGAGGACGAGAGACAUGCCGAGCAGAGCUGAGUCAUCCCAGUCACCCCCGAUAAGGCCAGCCUGGAAAAGCCAAUAGCUGGCCAACCUGAAGCCUCAAGAGUGGCCCAGUCAGGAUUACAGAGCUGCCUACCAGCCUCUGAGUGACCCAAGCAAUAUGAGCAACAAACACCUAUUAUCAUAUGUCACUGUGUGUUUGCAGUUGUUGGGUAGACAGCAUUAUUGUAGAAAUAGCUAACUGAUACACUGUGUCCAGUGCUAGGCUAGUUGGGUGGUGAGAUUUUGAGUGGUUCUGCCUCCUACAAUCUCUUUUUUCCUGUCCAUUUUCAGAGCCUGGUCCUCCAGAAUUCUUGGCAAUUAUUAAAGUAACCCAGUAUCUUUUCAGUGAAUUCCCUUUGUGCUUACAUCGACCAGAGCCAACUUCUGUUUCCCACACUUAAGAACUCUGUCUAGUACUGUGCAAGUAUAGUGCUAGCUCUUAUUAUUAAUCUCCCAUUUCUGCCUUUGUUUGAACUGGCACUUAUCUUCCGGAACUUGUUUCAUUACUGAAAUAAAUAGCACCUAACAGUCUGUCUGCCCCAAGAAGCCUCUCCUGACUAAUUGGGAAAUGCCAGUUCCUCCUCGUAUCUUCCCUUCUUUGUGUGGCAGCAUCUUCUCAGCCUCGCUUGUCACUGUCUUCCACCAUACUCAGAGCAACAGCAAAACAACUGCCAUUGUUCUCACAUCUUCAGUCACGUCUGUGAAGAGCCACGAUGCCUUGUGUGGGGUGUGCAAUUUACGGACCUUGAAGAGGAGGCUACGUUUCAUGUGCGGGUCAAUGCAGCCAAGACCUGUGAGACAAUCCAAGAACAGACGAGGAGAGAGGCGACUUCGAGCACUUCAACUCUCUCACAGCAACCCUCAGCAGCCCUCUGGGCUUUUUCCGGGAGGAGCUUCUCCCAGCUGGCUGUUGCCCUUUCAGCUUGGGCCUCAGAGUGAGCACGUAUGGAGCAGACCUGAGUCCAAUCUGCAGCAAGGAGACAAGCCCAGCUGGACUGCAAUAUGAUGCAAAGCUGCCCAGCGGGUGGCCAACCUGUAGUCAACAGUGUGCCAAUGGCCCCACCCCACGGACGGCACUUGGAGCAGGGCAGGCGUAGCCUCAUUCCUCAGAGGACUGAUUAGAGGGAGAGAGGUCAGUUAUUGUGGAAGACUGAGAGCUAUCAGGGC